Molecule: ribosomal RNA, 439 nt
Filed under: uncultured bacterium
Lineage: Bacteria
Description: partial 16S ribosomal RNA
Rfam family: Bacterial small subunit ribosomal RNA
Source: RNAcentral
CCUACGGGAGGCUGCAGUGGGGGAUAUUGCACAAUGGAGGAAAGUCUGAUGCAGCGACGCCGCGUGAGGGAAGAAGGUCUUCGGAUUGGAAACCUCUGUCUGUGGGGAAGAAAAUGACGGUACCCAAAGCGGAAGCACCGGCUAACUACGUGACAGCAGCCGCGGUUAUACGUAGGGAGCGAGCGUGGUCCGGAAUUACUGGGUGUAAAGGGAGCGUAGGCGGGCGAGAAAGUUGAAGGUUAAAUCUACGGGCUUAACUGGGAGCUGCGUUCAAAACUUCUUGUCUUGAGUGAAGGAGAGGCAGGCGGAAGUCCUAGUGUAGCGGUGAAAUGCGUAGAUAUUGGGAGGAACACCAGUGGCGAAGGCGGCCUGCUGGGCGUUAACUGACGCUGAGGCUCGAAAGCGUGGGGAGCGAACAGGAUUAGAUACCCUUGUAGUC